Molecule: ribosomal RNA, 497 nt
Filed under: uncultured bacterium
Lineage: Bacteria
Description: partial 16S ribosomal RNA
Rfam family: Bacterial small subunit ribosomal RNA
Source: RNAcentral
GAUGAACGCUGGCGGCGUGCCUAAUACAUGCAAGUCGAGCGAACGGACGAGACGCUUGCUUCUCUGAUGUUAGCGGCGGACGGGUGAGUAACACGUGGAUAACCUACCUAUAAGACUGGGAUAACUUCGGGAAACCGGAGCUAAUACCGGAUAAUAUUUUGAACCGCAUGGUUCAAAAGUGAAAGACGGUCUUGCUGUCACUUAUAGAUGGAUCCGCGCUGCAUUAGCUAGUUGGUAAGGUAACGGCUUACCAAGGCAACGAUGCAUAGCCGACCUGAGAGGGUGAUAGGCCACACUGGAACGGAGACACGGUCCAGACUCCUACGGGAGGCAGCAGUAGGGAAUCUUCCGCAAUGGGCGAAAGCCUGACGGAGCAACGCCGCGUGAGUGAUGAAGGUCUUCGGAUCGUAAAACUCUGUUAUUAGGGAAGAACAUAUGUGUAAGUAACUGUGCACAUCUUGACGGUACCUAAUCAGAAAGCCACGGCUAACUACGUG